AUGCUUACCUGGCAGGGGAGAUCACGAAGGUGGUUUUCCCAGGGCGAGGCUUAUCCAUUGCACUCCGGAUGUGCUGACCCCUGCGAUUUCCCCAAAUGUGGGAAACUCGACUGCAUAUUUGUGGUAGUGGGGGACUGCAUUCGCGCUUUCCUCUG
This is a small nuclear RNA of Heterocephalus glaber (naked mole-rat), 155 nucleotides long. Its record names the gene U1. It matches the Rfam family "U1 spliceosomal RNA". Rfam says of the family: U1 is a small nuclear RNA (snRNA) component of the spliceosome (involved in pre-mRNA splicing). NCBI's taxonomy places the organism in Eukaryota, Metazoa, Chordata, Mammalia, Rodentia, Bathyergidae. The record is from Ensembl.